This 23104-nucleotide long non-coding RNA is filed under the name Sorghum bicolor (sorghum). RNAcentral describes it as "long non-coding RNA (SBIC_LNC004309)". The record is from RNAcentral. Lineage: Eukaryota; Viridiplantae; Streptophyta; Magnoliopsida; Poales; Poaceae.
UUGCUGCAAAAGUACAAUGUUGAGGAAGAUCCGACAGAUCCGGCUCCUCCUCCGCUCUCCUCUUCUCUCUCCCUAUUUUCUAGAUUACAACUAGAACUAACUAGAACUAGAACUAGAACUAGAGGAACUAGAACUAGAACUAGAUGAACUAGAACUAGAUCUAGAUGAACUAGGGGUAGAACUAGAAGAACUAGAGGGAUCCUCUCUACUUGGAUGAAGAAUUGAAACCCUAGCUUUGAUUCUGUAGAAGAGGUAUGAUCUCCAGGGGCCAGGAGGGUCUGGUUUUAUAGUCCCUUCAAGUGAAUCUGGGCCGUUGGAUCAAACCGACAUUGAUCGUGUGGUUUUCCUUGAAGUAUUAGGUCGGUGGAGCAUGAUCCUCGAACUUCACCCUGAUUGGUGAAAAGAGGUGGGCGGGCGCCCUCAGGACUAGGGCGGGCGCCCUGUCCCUGAGGCCUCUCGGCUUCCGCUUCGGUCCCGUGGCUUCUGGAGUCUUCUAGAUGAUAGAAAAUUGCGCGGCACGUUAAUAUCUCUAUGUAAACCCGACGUGUGGGCCUUUCUUCCAUAUUUCCUGAUAACCCCCUGCAGAAAUAGACAAACACCAAAACUUGUGGAAUUCUGUCAGAUAAAACCCUAAGUCUAGGUGUUGGUUGCAUUUGGAUCCUUUUCUAUGAUUAAUUGAUGGUUAAAUAUGAGCAUUAAGGACCGUCAACAAGCUCCCCCAAGCUUAACCUUUGCUCGUCCCUGAGCAAAGAUGAACUCAAGAGUUUCUGCAGUGGUUUCAUGCCUUAAAGAUACAUAUGUGUUCAAACAAGAUCUCAUCUCUAGGUUAGGGUAAACUGUUAAGACUUAAAACUUACUCAUUUACCUUUCACCAUGGGACUUGUAACCGUUACUUCUGUCUUGAGUAAUUAAAAGAUAGAACAGUCUAGUCAAGCACCAUGUCUCUUGUUCUUCGAUUAACUAUAGCUCUGGAGUUUUUGUAGAUUUUCAAAUAAAACUCAGAGAUUCCUUGUAUGACUCUCUCUAGUCUCUCUUUUGUGGUAUUUCUGGAUCCUUACCAAGGCAGUAAUGGUGUAUGCCUUCUCUCAAAGUAUGUGGUAUUUGUGGUAUAAGGCAUAGUGACAUUGCCUUCUCUCUCACCCUACUCUAAUAAGGCUUUUGAUAUCUGGAGCUCAUAGGUGGGAGACAGCUAAUACAUACUUACAAGACAUUUAUUGCAUAGUCAAACCAUGGAUCCAGAAAAACAAGUCAAUAAGUCAAAUCAAGAUGUGCAUGUGUGGCGAAUGAAUGGUGUAUGGUAAUGAUGGUGAUAACAAUGGUGACAGUCUAAUUCUACUUGUGCUCUUUUGAGGGGAUACAUACCUUUCUUGCUCUUUUGAAACUUUUUGAGGAGAAUGAAAUGCUCUAUAUAUAUUUUUUUCUUUUUCUUCUCUCAGGUGGGUAUCUUGUACCCCUAAUUCUACUGUCGGACACUUGUCCAUUUUUACCUCUCGUCUCACUUUUUCUUUUCUUUCGAGGUUCCGGGCACUUGCCCCUUUUUAUUUCCUCGUAUUUUUUUUCUUCUUUUUUUUUCUCUCUUUUUUUAGAGCACUCAUCUCAUGAGAUAAUAUAGCAAGUGGUAGUAACAAGAUAACUUGAGCAUUUAUUUCACAGGGGAAAAACAGGAAUAUUUUUGGCUAUUCUCUCCCGGAUCAGGAGUAGAAUAUUUUUGGGUGGUUCUGGAGAUGGAAAUGGUUGGAUAUAUGUGGAUGCGUACUUCCAGAGUAGAAGCAGCAUGUAUGAGUGAACGUGCAAGUGAAUCUUGAUUUAAUCACAUGACAAGCUCCUAAGGGUCUACACAGCUUGACCACACUCAAUGCUCAUAAGCAGUAAAAAGUAAAUGUGUGGUUUAUAGUCUAACAAGCAUGUAUAUAUGGCUGUGGUAGGAAUUUAAACUCUCAUCAUACAGGAACUCAUCAUGCAACAUUUUAAAGAUUUUCAAAGAUUAAAUUCUCCAGAAUUCUAGCAUCUCUAGGAACAGAUAAACAGAAGCUCAACCUUCCCAUAUCGUAUCCGUUAACGACUUAGACUUUAAAUCAAGUACUCUCCCCACAAGUUCAGGUUUAGAGCAAAUCUUAAUUAAUAACAGUCAUGCCUAAACUUAAGAGAGAUUUCAAUUUUUAGAACUAAUCAUGGUAGAGCAACUACUCAUCAUUUCUAUGUGAGAGCUUAUCAUGAGGGUUCAUAGCAAACUUUAUUUAUUUAUUCAUUUAUUUAGCAAACUAAGCAAAGAUAUAUAUAUAUAUAUAUAUAUAUAUAUAUAUAUAUAUAUAUAUAUAUAUAUAUAUAUAAGCACAAAAUCUUUAUUUGGGUUUUUAUGAUUAUGCAUCUUUUUAUUAUUUGAGUAAAGUAUAAACGUGAGUAGAAACACUUAGCUGGAUAAAUGGGGGUGCUCUCCCCCAAGCUGGAUUUUUACGUAAUUUCUUCUGAUGUAACUAGCAGGUGGCGGAGGUGUAUUUGAAUGUCAGCAGCACCCUGACAGUGAUUAGGAUGUCCUCCGUCAGCUAGUCUUCUUUGAUCCUUGAAUUAUGUGGAGCUCAAAUAGACAACAAAGCUUUGUGGAACUGGUUAAGUGUUAGCAUAAAUACCUAGCCUUUAUCAUGUUGAGCCUCCUCAAUAAAUGUUAUUCUCUUUAGUAGGAUCAUAAAUUUAUUUUUAUAUUUCAUUUUUAUAGGACAGGAAUAUAUUUAUUUUAUUUUUAUGCCACCACAGUGAAUGUACUUAUGGGUUUUAUGCCAUAAGUAUACUCACAUGGGGCUUAUUUUUAUUUUCUUUUCAAGAUGAUAUGAACCUGAUUAACUAAGCAAACUAUUUUAAAAUAAUUGAAAGGAAAAAGAUAACUACCAAGUUUACCUCUUGGCAAGGCGUUCGGUGUUUUUAAGUCCUCCGAACGGGACUCUCCGUUUUCUCAGUUGUCCUGGGAUUCGCUGGAUAGCGUAGUCGGUGGUUCCGGCAGCGCUUGGUCUUCAUGUAUAACUAUCUUCUCUCUCCACACCUGACUCGGUGCUAAGGUCUCCUCAGGACAAUUCUGAUCAAGCUGUAUGUCUUCAGACCUUACUACUUCUUCUUCGGAGUCUGCUCAUCCGUCCUUGAUGAUUUGCCUCCUCUGGUUGCGGUUGCGUCGUCUUCUUCUUGUCCUGACCUGCUUAGAGUCUUCAACUAUAUAGUUAGGGUCAGUAAAAUAGCAGCGUACCUUCUCAGAGGGGAAGUGCAUGUGGACUUCUCCGGUUCCAAUGUAGAUGAUUGCUUUAACGGUGCUGAGGAACGGUCUUCCAAGGAUGACGGGUGGAUUGUACUUGUCUUCUCCCAUGACAAUAACCUUCAAUCUUUCAGAAUGUCUGAUCUGCCAUCUGGAGCUGAAUGUAUGUUGGUUGUAGGGACAUGGUUCCAUGCAUGAGCUGAUAAGUGACUGCGGCCAUUAUGUUGACGUUAGAUCCGGUGUCGUAGAGUGCCUUCUGAAAAGAAUAUCCGUUGAUUGUGCACUCGAUGCUUGGGACACCAGGGUCGUCCUUCUUGAUCAAGAAAGGUGACUUGAGUUGACGAUCUUGACCUCCUUGAACUGCAGUGACCAUCUUUGCUGACUUGGUCCACAUUUGCUUGUUCCUGUUCCUCCUGUUGGUCCUCUUCCUUGUUUCAUGUCGGGAUUGCUCUGAGAUUUGUGUAGUCUGAUUCUUGAAGGUAAACAUCUCCUUCCUUCCCUUGAUGUAGACACUGAUCUUGGCAGCACUAGUGUGGAUGACAGCUCCCGAGGUGUUCAGGAAUGGCCUCCCUAGGAUGGGUGCCCUCUCAUCAGUACUAGUCUCUAUCACCACGAAGUCUGCUGGGGCGUACAAGGUACCAACUCGGACGAAGAGGUUGUUCAAUAUUCUCUUUGGGAAACUUAGCGUACGAUCUGCAAGCUGCAAACACAUGGUUGUUUCUAGGAAAGGAUGUGUAAAGAAUUUUUCAUAGAGUACCCUGGAGCCAAAGUCGCAGAGUGCUUCUGGGAAGUCCACCAUGUCGAUGGAGAUCGGGAUGACGGGGCGUCCUGGAUUGCCUCUUUUGACUGAGUGUCCAGUAUCUCCAUUAUGUAUGUGCUCGUAGAUCUAGGUUCUUCACUUGGUGGAGUCUGGGAGUUGUAAAACACCUUCAUAUUUUGCUCGAAGUGUACCUGCUCGUAGAGACAAGGCAGAGAUCAAGUGCAUGGGCCCUGUUGGUGGAAAACACCUAACAGAACCAAAAGUGUAUUUGUUCUUCUCUAACCAUAAGCAUAGUGAGCAAGACAAAGUUGAUGGAUAAUAAGAUCAUGAGUGUAGCAUUUAACAUUUGUCAGAUUAGAUUGCUCAACCUUAUGGAAAGAUAAUCUAUCUAUAUAUAUGUUUUGUUUAUAUCUUCCAAAGAUUGAGUGUGCAACAUUUUAGUUCAUAUGAUUAGGAGUGUGGAAUCACAAAGGUGGAAGGACUAAGCAUGUUGAAUCGAUUGGGUUGGUUAAUCUAGAGUUGUAGAUCAUACAUGUUUGUCUCUUUUAUUCAUGUGAACGCCAGAACCAAGGAGAAGCUUAUAGAAGUGAUAGUCAAGUACCUUAAGAUGUUACCUUACUUGAAGAGUGAUGGUACAGUAUCACCUUGUGGAAGCUUUCCUCUCUUAGCGGUUGUGCAUCGUGUUUGUGGCACCCUUCAGGGAUCAUCUCUUGUGAGCUAUGCCUUCCUUGUGUAAAUUGUUAAACUUCAUGUGCCUCUCUCUUUGUCUCCAAUAUGAGUUUAUCUCAGGACUUCCCAGGUUGAUAUUGAAAGUUUUCCUGCAGGGGUUAGUCCAACAAAAUAUCCAAUAUCUACUAUAGCAUACUAUCGGCUCCAAGAUCAACCUAGACACCAUGUCUAAUUUGAUUUAGGAGGGCAUUUUAACCUAAGCAUCAUGCUUUAAUUUAAACUCCCUUGGAAGUAAGAUCAUCAGCCCUAAACUAAGCACCAUGCUUAAUUAAGAGAUAAAUGAAACUACUCCAAACCUAGACAUAUACUAUAGCAAAUAAAGGUAGCAUGAGAGCAUUUAUAGAGAUCUACUCAAGUGGUGAUGAAGUAGUGUGAUUAGUAUUUAACAAAUUGAGCAUGUCUCAAAGGUUGGGACAACCAACAUAACAACAUGGCAAAGGAUGUUUUUAUGUAAGUACUCCCCCAAGCUUGAAUUUUGCAAAAUUCAAGUUUGGAUGAAUUUAAUUCAAUGUUGUAUGAUAGUUGGUUGGACAUACCUUGUGCUUGUCAUUCAUCCGAUCUUCUUGCUCCAAUCCUAGAAAGGUUAGUGACAAGAAUACCCGAAGGAAUAUUUUUACAAUUAUUCUUAUAUGCUCAACACACAAGGUAAUGUUGCAAAUAAUUAAAAGCUCAUGUUACGAUCUGAUCAGUGCUUGUUUUAGGACACUAAGCUUGUCCUUGGGAAACCAUCAAUUUAUGUCGGCGAAGUAGUUUCCCCUCCAACGCUGACCUAUAUCAAGAUCAACUCAACGAGAUCUACAAUAUUUAUUAUAGACAUAUGCAUUGACAACCGCCCUUUUAAAGUUUUUAUAAAUAGAAAGGAUGAGGGGGUUGGAGAUCUCGAAUGUGGUGAUGUUGGAAAAACCAAUGGAUUGGGAAGAUGUUGCAUAUGAGCAUGGAGUAAAUGAAGUGGCUAUGAAAUAAAUUCCCUGCUCAUUAAUGCUUAGAGUGAAAUCCAUGUGGUAUGGUGAAAAUGAUAAGGUGAGUGUGGUAAAAAAAAAGAAAAGAAAAAGGAUACACGGACGACUUGGUUCGAAACUAGCACAGCUACCGUUCCCCGGCAACGGCGCCAGAAAGCUUGUUGGGUAUUUUAAACGCAAACAGAAAAAUCCGCAAGCGCACGGAUACCGAUGUAGCUUUCACCCGGGAGUAUUCGAGAGUAUCGAUUUUCCACAGAGAACGUGAGUGUACUAAUUAAGAUCCAAGAUCGCCCAAGGAUAACUAUAUAAUUAUUUUUUGGUGGGAAGAGAGGAAGUUUCCUGAGAGUUCUCUAGUUGAUCUAAGAAUCAAGAAUUACUUCAAGAUUAUCUAUAUCGGGACAUCAGAGCACUAACCACAGAAAGAGAUGAGAAGGGGGCUAGGAAGGUCUGACUACGGUCCUACAAACACCGAUCCGAACGUGGUGGAAUACGUCGACUGUUAGGGCUGUCACUACCCUAAGGCUACCACAACAAUCCGCAGGAUUGGGUGCAAUUCCAGGUAAUUGCAAGACUAAACACCACGUCUAAUCUAUUAAUUACUACUCUAGCGUUAUAAAGACUAGAGCACUUGAUGCAAGCGGGAAUCCAAUAAAUAACUUGAAUGUAAAUAAAAGUAAUUAAAGAACUCAGGAAUUAUGAGUUGAAGAACCUGGAGAACGAUGAAGGACGAACCAGUUGCUGCAAAAGUACAAUAUUGAGGAAGAUCUGACAGAUCCGGCUCCUCCUCCGCUCUCCUCUUCUCUCUCCCUAUUUUCUAGAUUACAACUAGAACUAACUAGAACUAGAACUAGAGGAACUAGAACUAGAACUAGAUGAACUAGAACUAGAUCUAGAUGAACUAGAGGUAGAACUAGAAGAACUAGAGGGAUCCUCUCUACUUGGAUGAAGAAUUGAAACCCUAGCUUUGAUUCUGUAGAAGAGGUAUGAUCUCCAGGGGCCAGGAGGGUCUAGUUUUAUAGUCCCUUCAAGUGAAUCUGGGCCGUUGGAUCAAACCGACAUUGAUCGUGUGGUUUUCCUUGAAGUAUUAGGUCGGUGGAGCAUGAUCCUCGAACUUCACCCUGAUUGGUGGAAAGAGGUGGGCGGGCGCCCUCAGGACUAGGGCGGGCGCCCUGUCCCUGAGGCCUCUCGGCUUCCGCUUCGGUCCCGUGGCUUCUGGAGUCUUCUAGAUGAUAGAAAAUUACGCGGCACGUUAAUAUCUCUAUGUAAACCCGACGUGUGGGCCUUUCUUCCAUAUUUCCUGAUAACCCCCUGCAGAAAUAGACAAACACCAAAACUUGUGGAAUUCUGUCAGAUAAAACCCUAAGUCUAGGUGUUGGUUGCAUUUGGAUCCUUUUCUAUGAUUAAUUGAUGGUUAAAUAUGAGCAUUAAGGACCGUCAAUAGUGACUGCUUCUAACUUGUUUCUGCUACUUGCCAAAUCUUUUCAGCUUGUUACAGCCGCUUGCAGUUCCUUUACAUCUGGACAGUAGCUCACCUUCUGUGAAUUUUCAGCACCUCUGCAAGCCUUUUCAAAUAGCUAACUUUACCAAAAUAUUUCAAAAUAAAUUAGACACUUAAGUUAGCUUUUCAUAAAUAUUUUUGCAUGGCUUUCUCAAGAAACUCACCAUGUUAUAAAUGCAAAUUAAAGAUUUCUCCUCAUUAUAGUAUAAUUAUCUAUCCUAAAUCCGCUCACACCCUCUAGGUGUCUUGAGUGACAAAACAAAAUGGCCCUAUUAAAAAUACCUUUGCCUUGAGCCUAUUUUAAUUUUCUCUUUCUUCUUUUCCAAGUUGGAGCACUUGUGUAUCAUCUUUGGUCACCUCCAUCACCAUGACCAUCAUCUAACUCAAUCACUUGGUGUGUACCAACCUAUCUUUGUAUUUCACUCAUGACAUAGGUUAGUACACAUAUGUUUUAUCAAUUAUCCAAAACCAAACUAGGGCUUUCACUGGUACAUGCUGGCUAAGUGGCGCAGUUCUAUGCCAUGCGUCGGUGUGUCCGAGGGUUUUGCAUCGGACACUAGUUGAGGACUGUUAAGCGUCCGGUGCAAAGUGACAUUAACAACUUCAUGAGUGAGAAGUUUGGCUUUGUGAGAAUCGGAUGCAGGCCACGUCUGAUGGCAUGAAAUUGUGUUCAGGAGCUCCCUGAGUAGCGUCUAACAACGAGGCUCAGCGUCCAAUGGUUUUCAUUGGAGCAUUUGGUGUGACCCUAUCAGGCACGCGUGUGAGUUAGCCGUUGGAGGUAAUAGUUAAGUUCAAACGGCUAGUAACACAUGGUUGCUCUAUGAGCGUCAGACGCUGAGGGGAGUGUCUAACGCCUUGGCGUCGGUGCGUCCGAUGCCCCUGUCUUUUGCUCAGUGAAAGGACAAUGGCUAGUUUAGCUCUUAGGGCUAUAAAUAUGAGUGGCCAGCCUUGGGCUAGCUACUAAGCACACUAAGGCCUUGGUGGAUUAUGUGGUGGUGGAUGGGAGCCCUCUAACUCACUCAUGCUUGUUAGUGUUCAUCCGAUCGAGUGAGAGAGCGAUUCUAGUGUGAUUGCAUUAAAAGAUUACAUUGAGUGGCACUAGGUGUUCGUGUUGUAAGCCGGUGGUGCUUGUUACUCUUGGAGGUUGCCACCUCCUAGAAGGCUUGGUGGUUUGUGACUCAGCUAAAGCACAUGAGAAGAUUAUGUGGUGCUUUGGAGGAGGACUUGUGAGGGGUAUGAUGCCCAUCCUGCGGGGAUCACAAAGAGAAACUCUUGUAGAGUAAGACGCGAAGGGCGACAAGUGGUCCAACAGGGUCAAGUGCUAGAGCUUAUUGUUGAUAUUUGGGAACGCAAUAAGGAAUUGAUCCGCAAGCGCACAGAUAUCGGUGAGCACUUCACCCGGGAGGUUAUCUAGAGUAUCGUAUUUAUUUUUUUACCACUAGGAGAAAGAGUGCAUCUGACUAACCCGGUCUAUUACUACUAACCUUUAGGCUACAAAGAAUGUUUCUCGAUAUGAGCGAUAUAUAGAGAAGACUACAACCGUAAUCUCUUUCUAACCUUGGUAAGGAUAAUCUACUAUUCUGUUGGGGAGGCUCACGGAAUCUAGACACCACAGAGGAUGUUCAACCCAUACCUAUAAACCCUAUCGAUCCUACUAACGGGAUAUGGGCUGCAAAGGUAACUCGGAAAUGUCACGUUCCUCGCUACUACCACGGUCCAGCUAGUCAGGGGAUAUCUAUGAGUAUCCUAGCCCAAACACCACAUCUACACUAGAGAUGAUUACUCUAAACUCUACGCGAAGAGAUUAAAGUAAACUCAUAAACCAAAGAACAAUAAAACAAGAACUUACUAGAAUUUAGAAGUCGAAAUACUGAAGAAUCCUAGGAGCAAGCUUCGGGUUAGGAGAACUUGAUCCCGCAGGUACAACCUCGGAGUAGACAUCGACAGGCCGGGCUUUCUCUGAUCUACACCUCCACUCUAUCUCUCUCAAUCUAGUAGAUCUAGUCUACUCUCACAUUGGAUGCUAAGCCCUAAGUCUAUAUAGAGGAAAGGUUAUCCUUCGAGGGCACCUCUCAACUCUAUGAUGAACUUGUUCUCCUCUAGGGGCUAGGGGGUCUGCUUAUAUAGUCCCCUCAGGUGAACGUGGGCCGUCGGAUCAAACCGACAUUGAUUGAACGGUUAUCCUUGAUCCUUUAGGUCGGUGGAGCGUGAUCCGCGAGAUUGGCUCCGAUUGGUGGAACCACCAGGGCGGGCGCCCUAGGGGGGAGGGUGGGCGCCCUGCCCCCGGGCCCGAUCGCCUUCCCGUUCGUUCCCGUGGCUUCUGGAGUCUUCUAGAUGGUAGAAAAUUGCGCGGUGCGUUAAUAUCUCUAUGUAAUCCCGACAUGUGGGCCUUUCUUCCUUAUUUCCUGAGAACCCCCUACAGAAACAGAUAAACAACAAAACUCGUGGAAUUCUGUCAGAUCAAACCCUAAUUCUAGGUGUUGUUUGUAUAUUGGUCCUUUCCUUUGUUUAUUUGAUAAUUAAAAUUGAUACUUAAGAACUGUCAACAAAUACCCCCAAACUUAGGCUUUUACUCGUCCUCGAGAAAAGGAUGGUUAGGAAAAAAUAUCUGGGGUUAAAACAUUGUAAAGCAUUUUCUUCAUACCUGCAGGGUGUUGUAAAAAUUCACUGUGUACCAUAGUCAGGGAAUUAUAUGGUUAAGAGUAGAGGUCGUUUCUUCUCAAUCCUGUUACUUGGAGUUUUUGUAUAUUUUUGAAAAGAAAUUUAGCAUACCUUUAUCCUCAUAGGUUCUCUCAGAUCACUCAUUAUCUUUUGUAUAUCUCACUGAGGUUGUUUUAAUUUACAGAAAUUCUCAAGCAUACUUACCUUGCAUUUAUUGCCUGAUCAAAGACUUUGGAAAUUAAAAACUUUGGAGAAGAAUGCCAUACUCUUAGAUCAAAGACUUUGGAAAUUAAAAACUUGUCAACUCUUACUGGCAUAUUGCUAAUUAGAGGGACCAUAGGCUAUUAUUUUUUUUUCAGAUGCAUACCGAGGUACCCCUAAUUCUACUGCCGGACACUUGUCCACUUUUUCUACGAGGUUGUCGAGCACUUGCUCCUUUUUAUUUCCUCGAAAUAUCCUUAUUUUUGCAUAGCCCAUGCCUCUAAUGCAAUAAUACUUCGGAAGAGUGAAUCUUUCUGAAUAGAUGUCUUGAUCUUAGGAGUAUGAUAAAUCUCUCAACAAGGGUCUAACUCAUUUUGAACAAACUCAAUACAGAGUAGAUAGAUUUUAUAAUUAUUAAUAUUUAAUAUUUUCAAGUUUAUCUGGCAUAUAAAACACUGAGGAUGGUAGCUAGAAUUUUUGAAGAUUUUGAAAUAAAUUCUCCAAGCAGCAAUGAUAUAAAAAUAAGAUACUCAUACUCUACCAUCUCACAUUCCACAAUGACUUAAGUAACACAGGGUUUUAAAAUGAUUUUUCAAUAAUUACAGGUUUUUAGGAAAUAUCACAGAGUGAGAUUAAUCAUGAUUAGAAACAUUUUAAUCUUUUUAAUUUAUCAUGUCAGAGACAGUAUUCUGCAUAAUCCAAGAUAUAUGUGUAUGUGUAAAGUGUGCAGAGUAUGUACCUGAAUCGUGGAGUGGUGUAGUCGAAGUGUGUUUGGCGUGUCGAGGGAUCUCCCUCAUACUUGUUUUCUGCUUUCUUGUAUAAAAAUAAAGUAGAGACACACAAGACAUAAUAAUAAUAAUACUCUUUAUUAAUCUUGAGGCAUUUAUUACAACUGACAAAUAAUGAACUGAAGCUAAUAGUAAAUCUAAACUGAAUUUAAAGAUAACUAAGAUGCAUUGCCUCAAGAUCUAAUCUAGAUAACUUAGCGGCGCUCUAAUUCCCUGAUCUUCUUAUUGGCACUAGCAAGAUCAUGCCUAAGACCUAGUAUAACGGUGUUGUGGUUAGAGAGCUGCCUAGUCAUAGAGUUAACCGAGGACUGGAGGUCUAUGAUGACCCUGUCUAGCCUACGUACGUCCUCAUCAAUAUCUACUAUAGUCUUGCGACGCUUGGGAGGUGUCUCGAGAGCAUUGAGAGCGUGCUUUGAGGCUGCCUUUGGAGGGAUGAAACGGACUUUGCCUGCUCUAAUCCCCUCAAAGUAAGGUCUCUCUUCCUCCGUAGUGUAACGAAUGCUGCUGAUCUCGCCGCUCCGGUUGGUCUUGACUCCAACGACCCUCUCAUUGGGUCUGGGUGGUAGGAUCCUUGUGCCGGCUGGCACCUUGAUGGUGGCCUCCUUCUUGGCUGAUGGUCCUUUGAGAAGUAGGGGCUGUGGCGGUGCGGUGAGAACUGGUUGAGCAUGGUAGGAUUGGGCGGAGCUGCGCUGGCGUAAUGGCAUGGCUUCUAGCUGUCGCUCUGUGUUGGCCGGGACGAGAGCGUGGGCGUCGGGAUCUUCCUUGGGCUUCUUGUUGAGGUCGUAGGGGACGACUUCCCAAUCGUCGUGGAACUCUUCGGCCAUUGGAGCAGCGAGGAACUAAGCAAGCUCUAAUAGAAGGAGAGAAGGCUUGAAUACUUUGGUGUUUGAAAACUGACGUCAGGGGUAUGUUUAUAUAGGGGUCAAAAAGUGCCUCUAGGGUUUGUUCGGGCUACUCCCGCCGCCGUGCGUGCGAAACUUUCCAUCUGUAAGAUUUUUUGGUUUACCAUAAAUGUGUUUACCGCGACGGAGGAAAUCGGGACUGAGAGGGGGUAGGGGCUGGGCGCCCGCCCUCUUCAUCAGGGCGCCCACCCUGUGCCUGGUCCCUCUGUGGGCCCGCUUCCUCGAGUGUGCUUCUAGAUGCAGACUUUAUUCGGAAAAUAUAUGUGUGGCUCAAAAACGUCAGAUUAAAAAGGUUGGGCUCUAAAUUUCCAUGGGAAGGUAAAAAUGGAUCAUGUCUAUCUCUUCUAAUUCUUUAUUGGGCUCUAAAAAUAAUUUAAGACGUUGACCAUUUACCUUGAAUAAUGUACCUUCGUCAUUUUGAAGUGUGAUGGCUUCGUGGGAUGAUGAAUUGAUUACCUUGAAUGGUCCUUCCCAUUUACUCUAGAGUUUUCCAUGCCCGAAAAGCUUCACCCUAGAAUUAAAAAGUAAUACCUUAUCUCCGGGUGCGAACUCCUUCUUCUUGAUCCUCUUGUCAUGCCACCUUUUGACUCUUUCUUUAUAGAUCUUCGAAUUAUGGUAUGCUUUCUCUCGCCAUUCUUCCAAUUCUGAUAGUUGCAUUAUUCUAUAAUCUCCAGUGACAUCUAGGUCCAUAUUCCAUCUCCUUAUGGCCCAGUGUGCUUUGAAUUCUAAUUCAACAGGUAGGUGGCAAGUCUUCUCGUACACCAAUUGAUAUGGGGACAUUCCAAUUGGGGUCUUGUAUGCUGUCCGGUAUGCCCAGAGUGCAUCGGGUAACUUGUCCUUCCAUGCCGUUCUCAUUUCAUUGACUGUCUUCUGAAGAAUAUUCUUGAUUUGCUUGUUGGAAGUCUCUGCUUGGCCACUUGUCUGAGGAUGGUAGGGGGUAGCGACGUUGUGACGGAUUUCAUGUUUUGAUAGAUAUUGCUUGAAGCGUUUGUCAAUGAAGUGUGCUCCUCCAUCACUUAUCACUACUCUGGGAACUCCAAAUCUUGGAAAUAUAAUUUCUUCAAACAUCCUAUUUGAACUGAUGUUGUCGGCGUGCUUGCAAGGUAGUGCCUCUACCCACUUGGAGACGUAGUCAACUGCCACCAAGAUGAACUCGCACUUCUUUGAUGGGGGAAAUGGACCCAUGUAAUCUAUUCCCCAAACAUCAAAGAGCUCAAUCUGAAGGUUGUUGGUGAGUGGCAUGGCAUCCCUUGUGUUUAUGUUUCCGUGCCUUUGACAUGGCCCACAUCUUCUGAUAUAUUGCUUCGUGUCUUCAUACAUUGUAGGCCAGUAGAAUCCACACUCCCAGAUCUUUGAAUGUGUACGGAAUGCUCCAUAAUGACCUCCAUAUGGUGAUGAAUGACACCUAUCGAUGAUCUUCCAUCCUUCCUCAAUGGUCACACAUCUCCUGAGUAAGCCAUCAGAGCAUACUCGGAAGAGGUAUGGCUCAUCCCAUAUAUGUGAACGAUUUUGUUGAAUAAGCUUCUUCUUGUUUGCUCCGGGUGGUACAUACCCUGAAACCAUAAAAUUAAUAAUAUCUGCAUACCAGAAGUCAGACCUGUUAAUCCCGUAGAGCAUGUCGUCCCAGAGUGAAUCAUUGAUGGGGGUUUCCUGUGGAUUCUUAAAAUACAUUCUAGACAAGUGAUCAGCAACAACAUUUUCUACUCCCUUUUUAUCUUUUAUUUCUAAGUCAAAUUCUUGAAGUAAUAAGAUCCAUCUAAUCAAGCGAGGUUCAGCAUCUUUUUUAGUGAGCAGAUAUUUUAGUGCAGCAUGAUCAGUGUAAACAAUUAUUUUAGCUCCAACUAAAUAAGAUCUAAAUUUAUCAAUGACAAAUACAACAGCCAUUGCAUAAUUAAGUUGAGCUCCUGUCAAAGUUUUACUGGCAUAAGCAAUUGCAUGAUGCUUCUUAUUUUUAGUUUGUCCCAAAACUGCCCCCACAGCAUAAUCACUAGCAUCACACAUAAUUUCAAAAGGUAACAACCAAUCAGGGGGUUGAAUGAUUGGCGCAGAGAUGAGUGCAUUCUUUAAUAAAUUGAAAGAUGUUAGGCAUGCAUCAUCAAAUUCGAAAGGAGCAUCCUUGGCUAGCAAAAGAGUAAGUGGUCUAGCAAUAAAUGAAAAAUCUUUUAUAAAUCUACGAUAAAAACCAGCAUGGCCAAGAAAACUUCGAAUUCCUUUUGUAUUUACAGGUGGAGGUAGUUGUUCAAUUACUUCAAUUUUAGCUUUGUCUACCUCAAUACCUCUUUCAGACACUAGGUGUCCCAGCACUAUUCCUUCUCUAACCAUAAAAUGACAUUUUUCCCAAUUAAGGACUAAGUGCUUUUCUUCACAUCUUUGCAAAACCUUGUCUAAGUUUUCAAGACAACUAUCAAAAGUUUUUCCAUAAACAGAGAAAUCAUCCAUGAAAACUUCCAUAAUCUCUUCAAUCAUAUCAGAAAAUAUAGACAUCAUGCAUCUUUGAAAAGAAGCUGGUGCAUUACAUAACCCAAAAGACAUUCUACGAUAAGCAUAAGUUCCAUAUGGGCAUGUAAAAGUGGUUUUGCUUUGAUCAUCAGGAUGGAUCGAGAUCUGGUGAUACCCUGAAUAUCCAUCUAAGAAACAGAAGAACGAAUGGUUCACUAAUCGCUCUAACAUCUCAUCUAUGAAAGGUAAAGGAAAAUGAUCCGUUCUUGUGGCUUUGUUUAGUUUUCUAUAGUCUAUGCACAUCCGCCACCCUGUGACGGUGCGUAGUGGAAUUAGCUCGUUCUUUUCAUUCGUAACAACAGUCAUGCCUCCCUUUUUCAGCACAACUUGAACUGGGCUCACCCACUCACUGUGCGGCAUAGGAUAUAUAAUCCCUACAUGCAGCAACUUUAUAACUUCCUUUUUAACUACCUCUCUCAUCGCGUUGUUCAGUCUACGUUGGGGCUCUCGAGAAGGUGAAACAGAAGGAUCUGUUGGAAUACGAUGGGUACAAAUCAUAGGACUGAUUCCUGUGAGAUCUUGGAGUGAGUAGCCGAAAACUGAGUGAUGUUUCUCAAGAAUGGUCAUUAAUCGCAGAGUUUGCUCCUGAGUGAGUUUAUCACUAAUGAUCAUAGGAAACUCUGGAUUAUUGUUUAGCAAAGCAUAGAUAAGACUGGGUUGUAAAGGUUUAAGCUCUAUGGGAGGUCUAGGUGUUUCUGCAAACUCGUCUAAGGGUUCAGGUUCAGAAGGUUCAGCUUCUUCUUCUAGGAAGAAAGGAGCUUCUUCUUCUAAGUCUGGUUUAUCUAAAAGCUCUAGAGAUGCAGCCUUUACCUCCUCCAUAGGAUCAGGCAAAAGAUAUGACUCGGCCUUAUUAUUUAAGGAGUGUGAAAUCAUUAUUGGAAAUUUAAAAGUUUUUCCAAAAGAAAUGUGUAGCUUUCUAGUAUGACCUUCAUAAAGGAGUCUUCUAAAAGGUUGUCCUAUCAACAGGUCGAAGUCCCAUGUAUCAAAGAUAUAGAAGUUCAAAUGAACCAUGGAGCCUUCUACCAUAAGAGGUAGGACAUUAAUAAUUCCAAAACUAGGGACUAAUCAUCUCGAAGAUUCCUUUAUGACCUUUGUUGUGGGGCUUAGGACCAAAUUUUUAAAUAAUUUAAGUGCAAAAGAUUCAGACAUGAUGUUGAUCCCCACAACAGGAUUAUAGAGAGCAUCAAAUUGAUCAGAAUCAUAAGCACCGUAUAGUUAUAGGAAGUGUGUCCAAACGGAUCACAUUAGAGGAAAGCUCUGACUCCUCCAACCAUUCGCUACUCAUGACUGAGAUAAGCUCUCUCAAUUGAUAUUCAGUUGGCAAACAAAUGGUAAAAUGGCCGUUUUGGGGUCUGUCAAUAGAAUGGUAGUUUGAAAUGUUUCCAAAAUCGGCAAAAAGAUCAGAUUCUAUAUCCAGCAUGAAAUCAGGUGGGGGAAUUUCUUCCUUUUGUGGCUCAGAACUUGGGAUAACUAAAGUAGAUGGAGAAUUUGGCAGAGCGUCUACUUUGGCUUCGUGGGUUUCAUCAUGAAGGGUAUUAUCCAUCUCAGCUUCUAGGAUUCUAUCUAGGAUCACUCUAGCAUCAUCAGUAGGGAUGCGAAAGAAAGAACCUCUAGACAUUGUAUGUAGCAUUUGUUUUUGAUCUUUCUGAAGACCUCAAAAAAAGUGAAAUAAAAGAACAGGGUCUUCAAGAUUAAGGUUUGGACCAGAUUCUAAAAGAUCAGAAAAACGUUUCUAGGAUUUUCCCAAAGUUUCAUUAUCUUUUUGUUUAAAAGAUAAGACUUCGAGUCUAAGGUCGCCGAUAUGGUCGAGGGAAUAAAAAUCUAGACAAAAGUUGGCUCGUAAAACUCUCCAUUCACCUCAUUGUUGAUUUACCUUCUGAUUAUACCAUUGUCUAGCUUCUCCCCUUAAAGGGAAAGGUAAAAGCUUCCAACGUAAAGUUUUAUCAGAAAUGCCUUCAAUGCGAAGACAAUCACAUGUUUGCUCAAAAUCUCUAAUAUGAAGGUAAGGGUUUUCGUCUUCCUUUCCUGAAAAAGAUAGGUUUUGAAUCAUGGCAAUUAACCUGGAACUUAACCUAUACUGGGAUGUUUGGAUAGGCUGUGAUGACUCCCAUGGUAAAAGGUCAGUUUCCGAAGGUGUUGCAAAUUGAUAGAUUGAUUUAGAAUCUUGGUUUUCCAUAAGGUAAGAAUAAAUAAAAUAAAUAAAGAAUAUAAAAGAUAAUAAAAGAUAAAAGUAUAGAAACAAGCUAGUAGUAAGACUCAAGGUUAUCUCAGCAAACCGUCUAUCUCCCCGGCAACGGCGCCAGAAAUGCUUGUUGAUAUUUGGGAACGCAAUAACGAAUUGAUCCACAAGCGCACGGAUAUCGGUGAGCACAUCACCCGGGAGGUUAUCCAGAGUAUCGUAUUUAUUUUUUUACCACUAGGAGAAAGAGUGCAUCUGACUAACCCGGUCUAUUACUACUAACCCUUUAGGCUACAAAGAAUGUUUCUCGAUGUGAACGAUAUAUAGAGAAGACUACAACGGUAAUCUCUUUCUAACCUUGGUAAGGAUAAUCUAUUGUUCUGUUGGGGAGGCUCACGGAAUCUAGACACCACAGAGGAUGUUCAACCCGUACCUAUAAACCCUAUCGAUCCUACUAACGGGAUAUGGACUGCAAAAGUAACUCGGAAAUGUCACGUUCCUCGCUACUACCACGAUCGAGCUAGUCAGGGGAUAUCUAUGAGUAUCCGAGCCCAAACACCACGUCUACGCUAGAGAUGAUUACUCUAAACUCUACACGAAGAGAUUAAAGUAAACUCAUAAACCAAAGAACAAUAAAACAAGAACUUACUAGAAUUUAGAAGUCGAAAUACUGAAGAAUCCUAGGAGCAAGCUUCGGAUUAGGAGAACUUGAUCCCGCAGGUACAACCUCGGAGUAGACACCGACAGGCCGGGCUUCCUCCGAUCUACACCUCCACUCUAUCUCUCUCAAUCUAGUAGAUCUAGUCUACUCUCACAUUGGAUGCUAAGCCCUAAGUCUAUUUAGAGGAAAGGUUAUCCAUCGAGGGCACCUCUCAACUCUAUGAUGCUUGUUCUCCUCCAGGGGCCAGGGGGUCUGCUUAUAUAGUCCCCUCAGGUGAACGUGGGCCGUCGGAUCAAACCGACAUUGGUUGAACGGUUAUCCUUGAUACUUUAGGUCGGUGGAGCGUGAUCCACGAGAUUGGCUCCGAUUGGUGGAACCACCAAGGCGGGUGCCCUAGGGGGGAGGGCGGGCGCCCUGCCCCCGGGCCCGAUCGCCUUCCCGUUCGUUCCCGUGGCUUCUGGAGUCUUCUAGAUGGUAGAAAAUUACGCGGUGCGUUAAUAUCUCUAUGUAAUCCUGACAUGUGGGCCUUUCUUCCUUAUUUCCUGAUAACCCCCUGCAGAAACAGAUAAACAACAAAAUCAUAGAAUUCUGUCAGAUCAAACUCUAAUUCUAGGUGUUGUUUGUAUAUCGGUCCUUUCCCUUAUUUAUUUGAUAAUUAAAAUUGAUACAUAUGAGAGAGUGUGACUUAUGAGUCACCACUAGCAAGAGGACCGAUGGCAACCUUAGAGCUUGUCUCAAUGAGAACUUAGCUUGGUGGCAACUAAGUGAACCUCGGUACGAAAAAACCGUGUUAACUUUGUCUACUCUUCUCGGUGGUUUGCAUUUGUCAUACACAAGCUUGUAUUCAUAUUCUAUAUUUAGUGCUUGUGUAGUUUCUCUUGUAACUAGUUUAGCUUAUGUAGCUUGCUAGUUACCUUUUUGCUUGUGUAGCUAGAAGUAGCUCUUAUUGUGUGACUAAUUUGGUUUGUGUAACCUUGUUAGUCAAAUUGCUUAGUUUGUGUAGCUAAGUAAUUUGCACUCUCUAAUUUGGUAUUACUUGCCUUGUUAUUGAGCAUUGCUAGUGAUAUUAGGCUUUGUGCGUUUUGCAUCACUAGUUUGUUUAGGUGCUCCCCAGUUUGCUUAAAGUACUAGAUGCAUAGGUUUGUAUGACCUUGCAAGCUAGAAUUGGUUAGGUGAGCACUAGAUAGCGUGACACCUUUAUUGCCUAAUUAGAAUCCUUUUAAGGUACUUGUGAUUUUAAAUAGAGGGGUGAAGUAUUGACUAGAUUGACAGUUUUAAUUCCGUAUUUGUUUUGGUUAGCCAGCGUGUUAAAUUUUUAGAAAAGACUAUUCAACUUCCUAGUCCACCAUCUCGACCCUUCACUAGGGUUUUAUGAGUAGCGAGGACGAGAGGGUUAUGUAAGGGAGGCAAGGGCGUGUGCUAAAUGACUAUGUUGACCUCAGUGCCUUCCCUUUUCGAUCAUGAGAUGACAGGUUUGCACGAAUCACAGAGUAGGCUUGGGUAUGUAAUCCUAGCCUAUUGGGGAUUGCAAUUGUGGGUCUUUAGACUACGACGACAGCCCGAUGGACUCCUGGAAUAGGUUUCCUUCCAUUUAUGAAGGUUUGUUUUCGACUGCCUUCAACUUCCACGACUGUCCUGUCUCUUAUGCGAAGUGGGAUACACAACUAGUGAAUGACAUCUUUUGGGUGGAGGACGCGAAGAAGAUUAUUCUAGCAAUUCCAGUUCAUGGGGUAUGGAGAAUUUAGCGGCUUGGCAGUUCAAGAUUUUUUAGCUAAAAGUGCACACAAGUUGUAAAGGAGUGAUCAGCUAUGCAGGAGCAGUAGAGGUGGGAGCUCGAUGUCAAACCCAGAUGCGGGGUAUACAUCUCCGUGGGAGAAGUUGUGGAAUCUAAAUUGCAUAAACAAGGUUAAGCACUUGGCCUUGUUUAGUUCGUGAAAAGAAAAUUUUUGUGUGUCACAUCGGAGAUGCCAACAUAUAUUUGAAGUAAUUAACGUAGACUAAUUAAAAACAAAUUACAUAGCUCGUCUAGAAAAUGCGAGUCAAAUUUAUUAAGCCUAAUUAAUCUGUAAUUAGCACAUGUUCGUUAUUGUAGCAAUUAUGGCUAAUCAUGGACUAAUUAGGCUUAAAAGAUUUAUCUCAUGAUUUACAACUAAAUUGUGCAAUUCAUUUUUUCAUCUAUAUUUAAUGCUUCAUGCAUGUAUCAAAAGAAUUGAUGUGAUGAGUGAAAAGUUUUUAGGUAAAGAACUAAACAAAGCCUUAAUUGAAGGCUGUGCUAUAACAAUCACCCCAUCCCUAUGAACUUGAAAAGAUGCGGAAUGGAUAUUGAUACCCAGCGUGUGAUCUGCCAACGUUUCAAUGAAGACGGGGCUCACUUGUUUUUCUAAUGCAAGCUUAUGCAAAAGGUAUAUAUGGUGCCUCUUUGGUCUGAACCAGGUGUGUGAAAUGUUAGCAACAAAGCAGUCAACAAGAGAUGUAAUCGAGGCUGUGCUGGUCAUGAAAGAAGAUCAAAAGCUAAAAUGCUGCUAGGCCCAUGUAAUCUUCGUAUCGGAAUCAAGUAGGACACGCAUACGUGAACUUCAAGUGAAAGAUGAUUCGGACGUGGACAUCGAUUUGAACGUGUAACGUGUGAGUAAGGAUCAAGACUUGGCAUCGAGCAGACGAUGAUAUUUCAGUCCUUUGUAGUGUAGAGAUUAAGGGCCUCUUUUGAUGAUGCGGUUUUCAAAAACCAUAGUAUCACAAAACGAUGGUAUUAUAAGCCAAAGAGACACAAAACUGUGGUUUAUAAAAAAGAGGUCAUAUGUGAGUUUCUAAAACUCUAAAAAUUUACAGUUUUGACAAAACCAUUGUUUUAGAGACUUAAGAUUUGUUGCAUCAAAAUAUCCAUUAACUUUUAAAAACCAAAAUAUUUUAUAAAAUCAUAAUAUUUCUCUAAUACUUUAAAACAUAUUUUUGCAUCCAAAUAUGGCUUAAGUCUUUUGAAGUGUAGAGAUUAACUAAAAAUAUGGUUGUGCUUGGGAUGGGAGAGGGGAGGGGGCAUAUGGCCCCUGCUGGCGCCUACCUCCUUCGCAAAACCAUAUGUAGUUAAUUAAAAAGACAAUUCAUAAGAGAUAGUUGUAGUGAAUCAUGCAAAGACGUUGUCAGCAGAGACUAAUUAUUUAGUUAUUUGUCUUUGCAAAGAUUGCAAGAACCACUAUGCAACUUAUGAUGUGAAAAUUAUCAGAUCACAUCUAAUUAGGCGAGGAUUUGUUCCGAACUACACAGUAUGACUUCAUCAUGGUGAAGUAAUGGUUCUUGACGGCAACGAUGGUGACCAAGAAGACGAUGCUAAAGGCUAAUUGUUAUCCCAAUACUCAGUUAUGUUUGAAGCACAAAUGCAACAUGAGUAAGCCAAUGAACAAGCAUGUGGUGAUGAUGCUGCUGGUGUCGAUAAUAAUGAUGGUGAUGUUGACGGUGUCAACAAUAAUGAUGGUGGAGCAUGUGAGGGGGAUGCAGAAAACUUUGAUAACUUAGAGGAAAUACUUCGGGCCAUUGGACCAGAAAUACUACAACAGAAGAAGGGUCUAGAAAAUCUAGAGUGGGUGAAAACAACGUCGAAGGAGACUAUGUAUGGUGUUAAGAAGGGCUGUCCAACACACUAGACACUGCUCCGUUUUGUGCUUGAGCUACUCAUCCUGAAGGCUCAGUACGACUGGGCGGAUGCAGUUUCGACGAUUGUUUGGUAUUUUAAACGCAAACAGAAAAAAUCCGCAAGCGCACGGAUACCGAUAUAGCUUUCACCUGGGAGUAUUCCAGAGUAUCGAUUUUCCACAGGGAACGUGAGUGUACUAAUUAAGAUUCAAGAUCGCCCAAGGAUAACUAUGUAAUUAUUUUUGGUGGGAAGAGAGGAAGUUUCCUGAGAGUUCUCUAGUUGAUCUAAGAAUCAAGAAUUACUUCAAAGAUUAUUUAUUUCGGGACAUCAGAACACUAACCACAGAAAGAGAUGAGAAGGGGGCUAGGAAGCUCUGACUACGGUCCUACAAACACUGAUCCGAACGAGGUGGAAUACGUCGACCGUUAGGGCUAUCACUACCCUAGGGCUACCAUAGCAAUCCGCAGGAUUGGGUGCAAUUCCAGGUAAUUGCAAGACUAAACACCACGUCUAAUCUAUUAAUUACUACUCUAGCGUUGCAAAGACUAGAGCACUUGAUGCAAGCGGGAAUAAAAUAAAUAACUUGAAUGUAAAUAAAAGUAAUUAAAGAACUCAGGAAUUAUGAAUUGAAGAACCUGGAGAACGAUGAAGAACGAACCGGUUGCUGCAAAAGUACAAUGUUGAGGAAGAUCCGAUAGAUCCGGCUCCUCCUCCGCUCUCCUCUUCUCUCUCCCUAUUUUCUAGAUUACAACUAGAACUAACUAGAACUAGAACUAGAGGAACUAGAAUUAGAACUAGAUGAACUAGAGGGAUCCUCUCUACUUGGAUGAAUAAUUGAAACCCUAGCUUUGAUUCUGUAGAAGAGGUAUGCUCUCCAGGGGCCAGGGGGCCUUGCUUAUAUAGUCUUUUCAGAUGAAUCUGGACCGUCGGAUCAAACUGACAUUGAUUGAACGGUGAUCCUUGAUCCUUUAGGUCGGUGGAGCAUGAUCCCCGAAGAGGACUCUGAUUGGGCAACACAGGAGGGCAGGAGCCCUGGUCUCUAGGGCGGGCGCCCUGGGCCAGGCCCCGUUCUGCCUCUGCUUCGUUCCUGGAGUCUUCUAGAUGAUAGAAAAUUGCACGGCACGUUAAUAUCUCUAUGUAAACCCGACAUGUGGGCCUUUCUUUCGUAUUUCCUGAUAACCCCCUGCAGAAAUAGACAAACAUCAAAACUCGUGGAAUUCUGUUAGAUAAAACCCUAAGUCUGAGUGUUGGUUGCAUAUAAGUCCUUUUCCAUGAUUAGUUGACGGUUAAAUGUGAGCAUUAAGGACCGUCAACAAGAUCCCCUAAGCUCAACCUUUGCUCGUCCCUGAGCAAAGAUGGACUCAAGAGUUUCUGCAGUGGUUUCAUGCCUUAAAGGUACAUAUGCAUUCAAACAAGAUCUUAUCUCUGGGUUAGGGUAAACUGUUAAGAUUUAAACUUAUUUAUUUUUCCUUCCACCAUGGGGCUUCCAACCGUCACUUGUGUCUUGAGCAGUUAAAAGAUAGAACGGUCUAGUCAAGCGCCAUGUCUCUUGUUCUUUGAUUAACUACAGCUCUAGAGUUUUUGCAGAUUUUCAAAUAAAACUCAGAGAUUCCUUGUAUGACUCUCUCUAGUCUCUCUUUUAUGGUAUUUCUGGAUCCUUACCAAGGCAGUAAUGGUGUAUGCCUUCUCUCAAAGUAUGUGGUAUUUUUGGUAUAUAUGAGGCAUAGUGGCAUUGCCUUCUCUCUCACCCUACUCUAAUAAGGUUUUGAUAUCUGGAGCUCAUAGGUGGGAGACAACUAAUACAUACUUACAAGACAUUUAUUGCAUAGUCAAACCAUGGAUCCAGAAGAACAAGUCAAUAAGUCAAAUCAAGAUGUGCAUGUGUGGCGAAUGAAUGGUGAUAAUGGUGAAAAUAAUGGUGAAAGUCUAAUUCUACUUUUGCUCUUUUGAGGGGGUACAUACCUUCCUUGCACUUGAGGCUUUUGAGGGGAAUGAGAUGCUCUAUAUUUUAUUUUUCUUUUCUCUCAGGUGGGUAUCUUGUACCCCUAAUUCUACUGUCGGACACUUGUCCAUUUUUACCUCUCGUCUCACUUUUUCUUUUCUUUCGAGGUUCCGGGCACUUGCCCCUUUUUAUUUCCUCGUAUUCUCUCGCUCUUUUUUUAGAGCACUCAUCUCUCGAAAUAAUAUAGCAAGUGGUAGUAACCAAGAUAACUUGCAUUUAUUUUAUAGGGAAAAACAGGAAUAGGAGAAUGUUUUUGGCUAUUCUCUCCCGGAUUAGGAGUAGAAUAUUUUUGGGUGGUUCUGGAGAUGGAAAUGGAUGGAUAUAUGUGGAUGCGUACUUCCGGAGUAGAAGCAGCAUGUGUGAGUGAACGUGCAAGUGAAUCUUGAUUUUAACCACAUG